GGUUUGACGGUACCUAUAAAGGAAGCACCGGCUAACUCCGUGCCAGCAGCCGCGGUAAUACGGGGGGUGCAAGCGUUGUUCGGAAUUAUUGGGCGUAAAGCGCGUGUAGGCGGUCUGAUUAGUCUGAUGUGAAAGCCCUGGGCUCAACCCAGGAAGUGCAUUGGAUACUGUCAGACUUGAAUACRGGAGAGGGUAGUGGAAUUCCUAGUGUAGGAGUGAAAUCCGUAGAUAUUAGGAGGAACACCGGUGGCGAAGGCGGCUACCUGGACCGAUAUUGACGCUGAGACGCUAAAGCGUGGGUAGCAAACAGGAUUAGAUACCCUGGUAGUCCACGCCGUAAACGAUGAGAACUAGGUGUCGCGGGUA
Molecule: ribosomal RNA, 366 nt
Filed under: uncultured Geobacteraceae bacterium
Lineage: Bacteria; Pseudomonadati; Thermodesulfobacteriota; Desulfuromonadia; Geobacterales; Geobacteraceae
Description: bacterial SSU rRNA
Rfam family: Bacterial small subunit ribosomal RNA
Source: RNAcentral